Molecule: transfer RNA, 85 nt
Organism: Debaryomyces hansenii
Lineage: Eukaryota; Fungi; Ascomycota; Pichiomycetes; Serinales; Debaryomycetaceae
Rfam family: tRNA
About the family: Transfer RNA (tRNA) molecules are approximately 80 nucleotides in length. Their secondary structure includes four short double-helical elements and three loops (D, anti-codon, and T loops). Further hydrogen bonds mediate the characteristic L-shaped molecular structure. tRNAs have two regions of fundamental functional importance: the anti-codon, which is responsible for specific mRNA codon recognition, and the 3' end, to which the tRNAs corresponding amino acid is attached (by aminoacyl-tRNA synthetases). tRNAs cope with the degeneracy of the genetic code in two manners: having more than one tRNA (with a specific anti-codon) for a particular amino acid; and 'wobble' base-pairing, i.e. permitting non-standard base-pairing at the 3rd anti-codon position.
Source: Rfam
GCCUGGCUAGCUCAAUCGGUAGAGCGUUUGACUCUUAUUAAGAGAAGCGAUCAAAAGGUUGCGGGUUCGACCCCCGCGUCGGGUU